AGAGUUUGAUCAUGGCUCAGGACGAACGCUGACGGUGUGCUUAAUACAUGCAAGUCGAGCGAAGAGGCCCUUUCGGGGGCACUUCAGCGGCGGACGGCUGAGUAACACGUAGGUAACGUGCCUUAUACAGGGGGAUAACACCGGGAAACUGGUGCUAAUACCGCAUAAGUUGCUCGUUGAAAUACGAGUAAUCAAAGGAGCAAUCCGGUAUAAGAUCGGCCUGCGUUGGAUUAGCUUGUUGGUAGGGUAAUGGCCUACCAAGGCAAUGAUCCAUAGUUGGUCUAAGAGGAUGACCAGCCAGAGUGGAACUGAGAUACGGUCCACACUCCUACGGGAGGCAGCAGUAGGGAAUAUUGCGCAAUGGGCGAAAGCCUGACGCAGCAACACCGUGUGAAGGAUGAAGGCCCUCGGGUCGUAAACUUCUGUCAGCAGGGAAGAUAAUGACGGUACCUGCAGAGGAAGCACCGGCUAACUACGUGCCAGCAGCCGCGGUAAUACGUAGGGUGCAAGCGUUGUCCGGAAUUACUGGGCGUAAAGAGUUCGUAGGCGGUGAUCUAAGUCUGGUGUUAAAGACUGGAGCUCAACUCCAACAUGGCACUGGAAACUGGAUCGCUAGAGUACGGUAGAGGAUGCGGGAAUUCCCGGUGUAGCGGUGAAAUGCGUAGAUAUCGGGAGGAACGCCAGUAGCGAAAGCGCGCAUCUGGGCCGUAACUGACGCUGAGGAACGAAAGCCAGGGUAGCGAAAGGGAUUAGAUACCCCUGUAGUCCUGGCCGUAAACGAUGGAUACUAGGUGUCGGAGGUAUCGACCCCCUCGGUGCCGUAGCUAACGCGAUAAGUAUCCCGCCUGGGGAGUACGACCGCAAGGUUGAAACUCAAAGGAAUUGACGGGGGCCCGCACAAGCGGUGGAACAUGUGGUUUAAUUCGAUGCAACGCGAAGAACCUUACCUGGGCUUGACAUCUGUAGAACCCUGCGGAAACGUGGGGGUGCCUUCGGGAGCUACAAGACAGGUGCUGCAUGGUUGUCGUCGGCUCGUGUCGUGAGAUGUUGGGUUAAGUCCCGCAACGAGCGCAACCCUCGUGGUCUGUUGAUACGGACGGAAACGUGCCGAUCCCUCAGAUCAGACUGCCGAUAACAAAUCGGAGGAAGGUGGGGACGACGUCAAAUCAUCACGGCCCUUAUGUCCAGGGCUACACACGUGUUACAAUGCGAGGUACAACGGGCAGCUUAACAGCGAUGUUUGGCAAAUCCCUUAAAACCUCGCCCAGUUCGGAUUGGAGUCUGCAACUCGACUCCAUGAAGUCGGAAUCGCUAGUAAACGCAGAUCAGCAUGCUGCGUUGAAUACGUUCCCGGGCCUUGUACACACCGCCCGUC
This 1375-nucleotide ribosomal RNA is filed under the name uncultured bacterium. Its description in RNAcentral is "bacterial SSU rRNA". It matches the Rfam family "Bacterial small subunit ribosomal RNA". The record is from RNAcentral.